UAAAUCGUUCUUGUUGUUAAAACUUGCCUAUUCUAAAUGGAUCACAAUAUAUAUUAUUACAUUUUUGAAUUCUACUCCAAAUGGGGAACUUGGACAUUUUCUUUUUAUUUCUUUAAUAUAUUUGUCUAUCUAUAGAAAUCGCGCAUACCAAAUAUCUGCUCUCAAAUCGCAAUAUUUAAGUUGCGAUAAACAAUUAAAGUCAAAAACAACACUACACGCGCGGGAAUAGUCGUGACGUCGUGACAACUUUUAAAAGGCCAGAAAAGCUAUUUAUUCGUGUACCACGAGAUAAAAUCAGCCCUUUAAAAUGGUUAAAGGGUAAAGGUAUGCAAGGAUAUUUCUGAGAAGACUACUGCCCAUGUAUGUUAAGAUCGUUUUAAUGACUUGGAUGAAGACUGACGAAGCCGGACUUAAAACUGAAGAAAGAAAAGCUGGUACUCGUCGCUAAAGAGAAAUGGGUGGACUUGUUGGUAAAGCUUAACUCGAUGCUUCACUUAUCCAAUAGCUUAUUCGGAGGUUUGAUUUCGGUAAGGAAUGAAUUAGCAAGGUAUCCUGAUAUUUAAACGGAUGCAAAUAUGUGUAUGUGUGCAAAAAAUUGAUUCCCGUUUAGUAUCUUCUUAAAUUAUAAAUCUUUGAAUUUGGAAUUUGUAACUUAGUUGGUGUUAUAAAAUUUUAUGUAGUUUAACAAUUUGAUUUUAAACUUUAUACAAUUAAAGAAACGUUAAUUUUAUCAGAAUCAAGAAUUUACACAUAAAACACCUAUCAAGGGUUUGGCUUAGUAAAUAAUUAAUUAUAGGGGUUACAAUGAACGAUUAUAAUCAUCCAAGUAGCACUAUAUAUACACAAUCCAGUUCUUACUUCACUAAUCCUAACAUGGCGUCCAUGCCAGCAACUUUAUCAUGGCAACAUAGUGUUGGUAAUAUGGUAAGUAAUUUUAUACAACCUAUAGAAAGUAAGCUAUCUCGAUGGUUUUGGCAAGGUAUUAACACACUUCCACAAAGCCAUUUCUCUAAGGAUCUUACGAAAGUAAAUUAUUUUGAUAAAUAUCUGUGGCAAGGAAUAUUUAACGAGAGAUUAGAAUCACUUAAAGAACAAUUCGCAUUUGAAUUCACAGAACAACAAAAAUCUCUGCCAAUACAGAAUAAUGUAGUAUUAACAAAAAUUGAUAAGGUAAAGGAUCAAAUAAUAGCUGACUUACCACAAGAUAAAUUGGUACUAGAAGACCAAUUGAUUUAUCUGCAAGGUAUUGUUGGUAAAUAUAUGCUUUCUCCACAAUCUUAUGAAAAAGGAUUAGACCGCUUAAAACAAGUUGUUUCUAAUAAUGAGCAAUACAUAAUAAUUAUUGAAAAAGCAAGAUCUGGAUUUCGAUCUGAGCUGAAAAAGCAACCAGCAUUAUUAGCAGAAUGUUUACAAGGUGAUGUUUUAUUCUUAAUUCAACAUCAUUCAGAGUCAUCUCAGAACUCAUUAACACCAACACCCUUAAAAAAAAUAUUGAGUUAUUACAAACCAUUAAUGGCACAUAAAUCUUAUGUCAGACAUCAGAAUUGGUUACAAGAAUGUUACAAUACUCAGUCACUGUUACCACCACCAGUUAUCAAAAGACAUGUUACAACAGAUACCCCAUCGAAUGAAAGAAAAGAAGAGAAGAAAACAUGGAAUCGAUCCAUACGUAAUUUGUGGAAAUUAUUAUGCGAGCAUGCUGGUAAAUUAAUUACAUUAGGAUUAGCUACUCAAGUGACAGUUGCUCAAGCACUAGAAACUCAUGUAACUCAACAGCAUUCUAGACUCAGAAUAGGCUUAGCCAAUCGGUCUAAUUUAUUAGAUACAUUAGAAAGAGUGAACCGAACAUUUACUAAUAAUACAACAUUAUUAGACUUUAAAACAUUACCUACACCCAUGGAGCGUUGGUCAUCUACUUUAGACAAUAAAUCCGCCCGAGAAACAAUAACUUUUGAGAAUAAAGGUUACACGAACAGCACAGAAAUAUUUACAUUACCAUUCAACGUCAGUGCUGGUUCUGAAUUUGAUCAAUACAUGGUAAUUAAACAGGAAUUGAAACAGGAGAUAUUGAAUCAGUUUGAUAAGAUCAAUGAUGAUUUGCUUGCACUCAUAGAAAUAUUUAGUGCAAAUGUGAAUACUGAAUUAUUGGAAGCGAAAUCUAAUCAAACGAUGUUAUUUCGUGUAAUCAGAGCAUCUUUUCCAUUUAGUCAACGUCAAAACUGCAAUGUAUCAAAAGAUAAGCUAGUUGAACUUCAAAAUACGAUAAAUGAUACAUUGUCAAAUGUUAAUACUCCAAGAGAUAGCAAUUGUGAAUUAAAUACUGUUAAUACUAGUAGUUGUGAUGAAUUAAUCCAAUUAAUACAGUGUGGAGUUAAUCAUUUUAAAAAUGGAUUUCUACAAGCAACUGAAAAUAAAAUUUUAUUAACAUCAUAUACUAAGUUAGACAAUGCUUAUAAUGAUUUACAUGCACAAUUUCAAAACAUGAGUGAUAAAAUAAGACAGCAAGUUUCACAAGAAUAUCAGCAGAUAUUAAAUGAAUUAAUCAAAGAUUUUCAACUAUUAAGAAGAUUAUUAAACAGUUUAAAAGUAGAAUUAGCGCAAGAAAUAGAAGGAAAUUGUAUUUCAGAAAUCGGCCAUGGGCACAUUAAAACAGCUGUAAGUAAAUUUCAAAAACUAAAUGAUUUUGGUAAUGGUCAUCUAUUACAUUAUAUUAUAGAUCAGGCAUAUACUAAUUAUGGUCAACUGAAUAAUUUUGACAAUAUAAUAAAUUUUAUAGCACAGCUACCUUGGUUUUCAGAUAGGGUGAUAAGCUAUGAGGCACUAUAUGAUAAAAUGGAAAAAAAAUCUCCUAAAAUAUUAAUUUUUGUGAGCCAGAUUGAACAAGCCAUAGGGAACCAGUAUAUGCUUAAGAAUGAACCAAUAUUUGUUUCUAGGCUAAAUAAUUUAAAGAGUAGGGCAAUGAUUUAUUUUAAUAAUAUCAUUGAUGCAUGGGCCUAUAAGAUGCGGAAUAAUGAUGCUAAAGAAAUUAUGGAAUUUGCUAAAAAAUAUGACUGUGAUACCAAAAAGUCUAUCCUAGCUCUAGUAAGAGAAAGAGAAUAUGCAAGUGAUUGAGAAAAUGCAGAAACAUAAUAGCGUUUAUUCUAGAUCUACGUUGCCACGGAAGUGGUGCUGUAGUUUGUUAUCUUUGUUUAAGCAAAUGCACCGUAACCCGCCAAAAAAUUUUUCUAUAUAACAUUACAGAAAUGUUUCGUUGAAAUGUUACUGAAGCGUUGCGCUAGACGUUAUUUAAACGUUGCAAAUAAAUAUUUUGUAACAUUAUACAUGGUACAUCUUUGAAUAGUGCAAAUAUUUUAAUUGGUGGUACAUAAUGGCCCUAGAAGCAGAACUAGGGGAUUGCCCUGCUUCGAGGACAAAAAUAAUAUUUUCGAGCCUGUGAAUUGUAAAUUUAAAACAUUUUGAAACAAGUUAGAUUAAAAUGUUCUGCAAAUAUUUUUAUGAAAACGUUAUAGAAUCAUGAAACUGUAUAAGUGAUUCCUUGAUGAGUACAAAUAUUUUAACUGGUGGUACAUUUUUGUCCUCGAAGCAGGGACAAUCCUAUAGUUCGGUUUCUAGAGCCAUUAUGUUCCACCAAUUAAAAUAUUUGCACUCUUCGUAGAUACACCAUGUAUAAUGUUACAAAAUAUUUAUUUGCAACGUUUAAAUAACGUAUAGCGUAACGCUUCAGUAACAUUUCAACGAAGCGUUUCUGCAAAGUUUCAUUUGCAGUUACAUAAACAUUUCUGAAACAUAUAGUGCAGGUAACUGAAACGUUUCGGGAUUUUAAUAUACGCUUCUCAAACGUUUCGGAAACGAAAAGAUGUUUAGCGGGUAGAAGAUUAAUUUGGAAAGGAAAUAAUUGUAUCAUACACAGUCUAGCCUAUAAUUGUCAAUAUGUGUACCCUGUGUAAGAUAAUGGUGGUUACGAUUUAGAGAUGCUAUGUGAAAAUGAUGCUAUUACUUGAAAAAAAACACACAGAAACUCCAACAAGAGAAGGAUAUUGGAAGAUUGAUGUUAGUAAAUUUUUGUUGUUGUGUUGUAACAUGUUAUAACGUUUUCAAGAGGUAAUAACAUAAUAAAUAUUACGUCACAAACUUGGCAGAAAGUGUAACUAUAGGGCGUUAGUUUGUACUUGUUGCAGAUAACACUAUAUAAUAACACUUACAUUAAGUAAAGCAAUAUUUUUCUGUUGGCAAUUUGUCAGGUGGUCGAUCGAAAUAAUACAUCUGGAAACAAUUUAGAAAAAGUAAGUGAGAAACAACUAAGCAACGAUUUACUUGAAAAGUUAAUAACCAAGUAUUAGUUAUUAGAGGACUAUCUGUUUUACAUGUAUUAGAACUAGCUAUUUUAUCACUUGCCAUAACUGCUCCAGUAUACAGGGUGAUUCAAAUCUGGCGUCAUUCCUUUUAAGGGGUGAUACAGGCUCACUUGGAGAGGACGAGAAAAAUAUUGCAGUUUUUUUUUUGGAAAAUUUCUAGAAGAUAUUAACAGUUGAAGAUCCAAUGUCAACUUUGUUAUUAAGUAUUAUUUUGAAAUGUCCCAUCUUUCAUUGGUGGCCUAUUGGAAUACUUGACCGUUUGUAAAGAAAAUUUGCGAUCAUAUAGCGUAAAAAACACGCUUCUACAAUUUUUUGACAAAAAGUCAAAGGGGCGCUGAUGUUUUUUGCCAUUAACAGAUAGUUACAGGUUGAUAGCCUUUGUCAAUACUAACAAGCAUUUAUCAAACUGUGACUUACUUUGAAGCUCCUUUCACAAAAUGUACAGCAACAUCGAAUUUGCGAAUAUGCGAUUAGUUCUCGGUAAAUGCCACAGUAACCGUAAUCAGAAACUGUAAGUAAGUUAGACCAGCCAAGGGUUAGAGACACUGGAUAAAUGGCUCCAGGAAUUGACGAAGUUAGUGUAUGUUCUUGACAUACUCGGGUUCCAGACCUAGAGGAACAGGUAUUGGAGAUAAUUGCAGCUGAGCCUUCAGGGGUACUCGAAGCAUUGCACGACAACUGACCCUUUUUGAGCCAUCGGAUAAGUGCCCCUUUAGCUCCCACGAGGCAGAGCUACAUUCCUACCAUGUUGCAUGUCUGUAAGAUACACAGGACCCAAUAACAAAUUAUAUAUCUGAUCUGCUCAACCCCGGUACAUAUUGAGCAGGAGUUAAUUAAGCGAAUACGAGAAGCUGCUCAAAAUGUGAGCCCAGACUGCUGCCAAGACCUGGUUGGAGUUAAACGGGGCAGAACGUCAAACCUCUCUUGAUGUUUUUGAUGACAGCUGUGACGGAUUGCAUAUGCCUAAUACCACUCAUUUGCCCCAAAAAGGUGGGCAGAACUGACCGCAAUGUGACAACGUUAUCCGAACCUCAAAGUAUUUCAUUGUAACUUAUCUUUCUUUGCUUUUCUUGGUUUCUAGAUUUUGUAGUAAUAAAAAAACAACAUGUAUUAACGUAGAGUUAAAUAGGCAGAUUAAUUUCAAAAACAUUGUUGCCAUCCUUCUGUUUUAGCUUUUUGCAAAUAUACCCCUUUUUAUUAACGAUUAA
Molecule: RNA transcript, 5563 nt
Organism: Dendroctonus ponderosae (mountain pine beetle)
Lineage: Eukaryota; Metazoa; Arthropoda; Insecta; Coleoptera; Curculionidae
Exons: 3
Source: RefSeq, a predicted model, not a curated record